This 1032-nucleotide ribosomal RNA is filed under the name uncultured soil eukaryote. RNAcentral's name for it is "SSU rRNA". It matches the Rfam family "Eukaryotic small subunit ribosomal RNA", at positions 13 to 1179 of the family's 1831-position model. The record is from RNAcentral.
CCUGCCAGUAAUCAUAUGCUUGUCUUAAAGACUAAGCCAUGCAAGUCUAAGGAUAAACUAUUUUAUUCGUAAACCUGCGAACGGCUCAUUAAAUCAGUUAAAAUCUUCUCAGUUAUAUUUUUAUAUGGAUAACUGUAGUAAUUCUAGAGCUAAUACAUGCAAAAAACCCGAACUUCAUUGAACGGGUGUAUUUAUUGUCUCUAAAACUAGUAGCAGCAAUGCUUUUACCCAUGGUGAUGACGGGUAACGGAGAAUUUGGGUUUGAUUCCGGAGAAAAAGCCUGAGAGACGGCUAUUACUUCCAAGGAAGGCAGCAGGCGCGUAAAUUGCCCAAUCCUAAUUUUGGGAGGCAGUGACGAGAAAUACUAGUGUUAGCCACAAUGUGGAUAACUAUUGGAAUGAGAACAACGUAAAUACAUUAACGACUAACAAAUGAAGGGCAAGUCUGGUGCCAGCAGCCGCGGUAAUUCCAGCUUCAUUAGUGUAUAUUAAAGUUGUUGCGGUUAAAAAGCUCGUAGUUGGAUUUCGAACUUAAGAUCUUAUUCUUUAAUUUAUUAGAGGAUUUGAUUCUUUACUUCUACUUAAGUUAUUUAUAACUUAAUGUUUACUGUGAAAAAAUUAGAGUGUUAAAAGCAGGCAUAUUUGCCAGAAUAUUUCAGCAUGGGAUAAUAAAAUAAGACAAUAGUCUAAAUUUUAUUGGUUUCUAAGGCUAAUGUAAUGAUUAAUAGGGACAAUUGGGGUAACUUGUAUUAAUUCGCUAGGGGUGAAAUCCUAUGAUUGAAUUAAGACAAACAACUGCGAAAGCAUUUUACAAGGAUGUUUUCAUUAAUCAAGAACGAAAGUUACAGGAUCGAAGAUGAUCAGAUACCGUCGUAGUUGUAACCAUAAACAAUGUCAACUCAGGAUAAAAAGAUAUUACAUUUGAUGAUUCUUUUUGCACUGUGUGAGAAAUCAAAGUAUCCAGACUCCGGGGGGAGUAUGGUCGCAAGACUGAAACUUAAAGGAAUUGACGGAAGGGCACCACCAGGAGUGG